RNAcentral lists this ribosomal RNA (404 nucleotides) under uncultured bacterium. RNAcentral's name for it is "bacterial SSU rRNA". It matches the Rfam family "Bacterial small subunit ribosomal RNA", at positions 355 to 776 of the family's 1533-position model. The record is from RNAcentral.
UGGGGAAUAUUGCACAAUGGGGGAAACCCUGAUGCAGCGACGCCGCGUGGACGAAGAAGUAUUUCGGUAUGUAAAGUCCUUUCAGCAGGGAAGAAGAUGACAGUACCUGACUAAGAAGCCCCGGCUAACUACGUGCCAGCAGCCGCGGUAAUACGUAGGGGGCAAGCGUUAUCCGGAUUCACUGGGCGUAAAGGGAGCGCAGGCGGCACGGCAAGUCUGAUGUGAAAACCCGGGGCUCAACCCCGGGACUGCAUUGGAAACUGCCGGGCUGGAGUGCCGGAGGGGUAAGCGGAAUUCCUAGUGUAGCGGUGAAAUGCGUAGAUAUUAGGAGGAACACCAGUGGCGGAGGCGGCUUACUGGACGGCAACUGACGCUGAGGCUCGAAAGCGUGGGGAGCAAACAGG